GUAGCAGAAUAGUUUGUUCUUUAAUUGGGAGUUGGUAUGAAGGGUCUCACAAAAAAUAUCUUUUAAAUUAAAUUAAGUAAAUUAAAGUUUAAGUUAAAAUGCUUAAAUAUCGUAAAGGGACGAUAAGACCCUAAAAGCUUUAUUUAUCCUAUAUUGAAUAAUUUAUAUUGUAAAAAUAAAUAAAAGAUAAAAUUAGCUGGGGAAGUGGUUUUAAAUAAUUAAAAUUUCAAAAUACUUAGGCUCAGGAUACAUGAUCUUAUAUAUAAGAAUUAUUGGAUAAAGUUACUUUAGGGAUAACAGCACAAUGAUUUUGGAGAGUUCUUAUUUAUAAUAUUAUGUGUGACCUCGAUGUUGAAUUAAAAUAUCUUAAAGGAGCAGAAAACUUAUAAGAGGGUUUGUUCAACCUUUAAAUUUUU
Molecule: ribosomal RNA, 416 nt
Filed under: Pseudocrangonyx uenoi
Lineage: Eukaryota; Metazoa; Arthropoda; Malacostraca; Amphipoda; Pseudocrangonyctidae
Description: partial 16S ribosomal RNA
Source: RNAcentral